CCUCUCCGCUCCCCUCCCCUUCCCUUCCUUCCCUCCCUCCCGCCGGAGCGCCCGCGGCCCCCGCUCCUCGGCCUCCCUCGCGGCCGCAGGGACGAGGAUGGCGGAGAGCGAGGCCGAGACCCCCAGCACCCCCUGCGAGUUCGAGAGCAAGUACUUCGAGUACAAUGGGGUGCGGCUGCCGCCCUUCUGCCGCGGGAAGAUGGAGGAGAUCGCUAAUUUCCCGGUGAGGGACAGCGACGUCUGGAUUGUCACCUACCCCAAAUCAGGCACAGGGUUGCUGCAGGAAGUGGUUUAUCUAGUGAGUCAGGGAGCUGAUCCAGAUGAGAUUGGACUAAUGAAUAUAGAUGAACAACUUCCAGUCCUAGAGUACCCUCAGCCUGGUCUGGACAUCAUCAAGGAACUGACAUCUCCUCGCCUCAUAAAAAGCCACCUGCCAUACCGGUUCUUGCCUUCAGACCUCCACAAUGGGAACUCAAAGGUCAUAUACAUGGCUCGCAACCCCAAAGACCUGGUGGUGUCUUAUUACCAGUUCCACCGCUCCCUAAGGACCAUGAGCUACAGAGGAACCUUUCAGGAGUUCUGCAGAAGGUUUAUGAAUGACAAGUUAGGAUAUGGUUCGUGGUUUGAACACGUGCAAGAGUUUUGGGAACAUCACAUGGAUGCCAAUGUACUUUUCCUCAAGUAUGAAGAUAUGCACAAGGACCUUGCAACGAUGGUUGAGCAGCUGGUGAGGUUCUUAGGAGUUUCUUAUGACAAAGCACAGCUGGAAUCCAUGGUGGAACACUGCCAUCAGCUCAUUGACCAGUGCUGUAAUGCAGAAGCUCUUCCUGUUGGCAGGGGUAUGUUCAAAACCCACAGUAAAACCCUCCUUGGAGAAGUUGCAAGAAGCAACUGCACAGCUUAGUGACCUCCAGGCACAUUGAUCUUUACUCUGAAGAUAACCCUGAACUGCUGUGAAAGCAGAGCAGUGCUUAGAUAUGUUACUUGUAUUUGACUCUUAUCACAUCCUAAUUUACGCAGUUGCAUGAUUCAAAUCAGAAACCAGGACGAGUUGGGCUAUGGAAAGACAUCUUCACUGUUUCAAUGAAUGAGAAGUUUGAUUUAGUUUAUAAACAGAAGAUGGGAAAAUGUGACCUCACAUUCGAUUUUUAUUUAUAAAAAAUGCAUGCCUAUGAUAUCCAGAUAUAGCUAGAAGUGCUUUAUGCAUUCAUUUAUUACCUGCUGGACAAACUACUGUAGCUAUUAUGUGUAAUAAAAUUUAAAGAAAGAGAAAACAAUCCAAGUAAACCAUAUCAGAUACAAUUUAUCUUUGAUCCUAAGCAGCUGUUUAUCUUCUGGUAUUUAAAUCCUGUGUCCACAUGCAAGAAGUUCCCAGGCAAUACUAGAACAUUCAGCUGUUACGGAAUGUAUUAUAUACUUAUAAGGUAUGUACCAUAUAUGCAACUAGAAUGUACACCUUUUCAGCCCCACAUUGAUUAUUUAAUGUGUUUUAUAAAAGCUUGUCACUAGAACCUAAAUAAAUGUCCAUAGACCAAAUAAAAAAAAAAAGAUUUCUGAGGGAAACAAGUUAAUAGGCCAAAAUAUUCUGUUAGAACGAUCUCAGGGGUUAAUCGUCACAUUUAUUUUUAUAGCAGGUAUAGCAAGUAUAAAUAAAUCCCAUCCCAAAAUAGUAACUGAUCCAAGUGGGGUUCACAUUAGGUUCUGCACACCCUUAUCUGUGUGAUCUGAGUAGGUUCUCUGUGCGCUGGCAUAUUCUGCAGGACAGGGCUUGUUGCGAUGUGCAGCCUGAUCCCAGAACCCACCUGUGCUUUCAUGGAUGGCAGCUCACAGCUGGCUCCCCCAUGGAUGCAGUUCAGCUCCAUGGUGAGGGUCAGCACACAGAAGAUCCUCAAGCCCUCAAGUCUAGUUCAGUCCCACAAAACUGGGCUUAAAAUCAAGGCAUCUGGUGCAGGGGCUUUCUUGAAGGAUCAGCCUCUGACCCGUAUCGCUUUCCUGUGUAGAUGUGGAUUUCUCCCAUUAGGAGCAGAGAAUUUCUCCCGCUGGAAGAGAGAAGCUGAGGUGCUGGGUAGCCUCUGGUUCCACUAAAAGGUGACUAAGGGCACUUAGCUCUGUUUAUGGCUGGUGCUCCUGGACUCCACCAGCCCCAAGGGGAAGGUGAGUCUGUGCCAGUGUAACUGCAGCAUCCGGGGAAGAGAGUUGGUGGAUGUGCCAGCAGGUGGGAGUAUUGCACAAAUAUCCAUGCAGAACACAGUUCCAGGAAUUGUUAGCCGUGACUGGUCUGGAUUAUAAUCAGGAUUCAAGUUUCUUUCUGUAUCUUUUCUUUUCAAUCUCCACGACAGGUACACAACCGGCCUGAAGCAGGCUGCUAUCACUAUAGAAUCUCCCAAAUUAUUUUAUUUGUUCCAUUAUGUAAUGACAUCCAUGCUUUUUAGGUUCUCAGCUGCAGGAGGCCCGUUUUUGCUAGUCAAAUGUUCAGGCUCACCAAAAAAACCGUGAGGAAAGGACUAGCUUUUAGUGUUUCAGUUCUGUUGGGAAACUGUCAGUUCAGCAACUGGCAAGUGGUGUAGCAUGAUGUGGCUUGACAGCACUUUUCCUUGUAUAUUUGUGAGUGAAAAUGCUUUCAGUGAAAUUUUAUUUCUAUUUUUAUAUUUUUAGUACUGUAUGAAUAUUAAGCACUACACAUUAUACUUCUGUGCUUGCUUGCUUACUGAAUAAAAGAUGUGUUCCAUG
RNA transcript from Neopelma chrysocephalum (saffron-crested tyrant-manakin), 2730 nucleotides. It is a transcript of the gene named sulfotransferase family 4A member 1, with no coding region annotated. NCBI's taxonomy places the organism in Eukaryota, Metazoa, Chordata, Aves, Passeriformes, Pipridae. The record is from RefSeq and is a predicted model, not a curated record. The transcript has 8 exons.